CCUAUAUAAUUCUGUAUUUCUUUACUUCUCUAUAUAUAUAUAUAUGCAGUGCGGCCCCAUUAUAGCGUGAUCUUACAGUGACCACUUACAGAUAGGAAAUUAGUGUUGUUUGUAUUACAUGGAACUUGUCUGAGAGCGCCGACUUACACAUAAUGACGGCUUGAAAAUGACGACUUAAGCCUAGCGCAGACUUGCGACUUUUUCAUGCAACUUGGCUGCGAUUCUAGAGUCCCGCGUCUACAUUUGCUGUCUGGCAACUUGCACGCUAGCCAAUCAGAUUUUCCUGCCUGUUGAGAUUAAAAAUGUGCAUAUUUUCCCAGUAUUAUAAAGCACACGUAACAUUUUCUUACAGGAUGAACCCACUUAUGGAAUGUAAUGUGUCCGAGAUGUUCAAGCGAGGAGGAAAAGAUAAAAUGGGCGAGGCCCGAAAAGUUUUUCUCGUAAGAAUCAUACACUCAUUUACCAUACGACGUACUGUUUUGCCCAUACUUGAAAUACUUAUAAAUUAGCAUUUAUUUCACACUCUAUUUUGAAAACCUAAAUCAAAAAAUGAUUUGAACAAUAGAGUGCACUUUAUCUAGCACAUUGUUACUGAAUUUCAGCGAGAAUUGCACAGCCAAUUGGAGUUACAUGGGAGUAACAAGGGAGGAAUAAAUAAAGCGGUGGCCCGUCUCCAUGAACUUAUUGGAGACCCUGCCCUACCAGAAGGAGCAGUGCUCCAUGAAGUGAAGAGGGUACUAAAAAAUAAAAAAGAUUAUAGGAGAAAGAACAACAAAAAACUGCAGCAGCAGCAACAGCAACAGCAACA
Priapulus caudatus is the source of this 808-nucleotide long non-coding RNA. RefSeq lists it as uncharacterized. The transcript is spliced from 3 exons. NCBI's taxonomy places the organism in Eukaryota, Metazoa, Priapulida, Priapulimorpha, Priapulimorphida, Priapulidae. The record is from RefSeq and is a predicted model, not a curated record.